Molecule: long non-coding RNA, 358 nt
Organism: Hibiscus syriacus
Lineage: Eukaryota; Viridiplantae; Streptophyta; Magnoliopsida; Malvales; Malvaceae
Exons: 5
Source: RefSeq, a predicted model, not a curated record
CCUUCACUGAUGCAAAGGAUAAAACUUCAUCCACUGAUAGCGCUCUGAGGAGGAUUCUGAUGAAGAGGAUGCAAAAAAGCAACUUCUGUGAAGAGCUUCUGCUCCCACCCUUAAGAAAAUUGAGGAUUCCAGUACUAGCUCCUCUGAUGAUAAUGAUUCUGAGGAAGAACAAAAAGUUGAAGCAAAGGAUGGUAAGAAACCUUUUACUGUGAAAACUUCAAAGAAAGAAGAGUCGUCUGAAAGCUCCGAAGAUACCGAUUCCUCCGAGGAAAAGGCUCCUACAAACAAAGCUCCUGUUGCUGCAAAAAGGCCACUCCCCACAGCUGGUACAAAAAAAUCAAAAGAGGAAAGUCAUGAA